GAAAUGCGAUAAGUAAUGUGAAUUGCAGAAUUCAGUGAAUCAUCGAAUUUUUGAACGCACCUUGCGCUCCUUGGUAUUCUGAGGAGCAUGCCUGUUUGAGUGUCAUUAAAUUCUCAACCUCAUCAGUUUUGUUAUGAGACUAUGUGAGGCUUGGAUGGUGGGGGUUUUGUGCAGGCUACCUUGGUGUGGGGUCUGCUCUCCUAAAAUGCAUUAGCAAGUUUCAACUGAGCUUUGUCUACUGGUGUGAUAAUUAUCUGCGCCACACAUAAAUAGGGCUCUAGACUUGCUUCUAACUGUCUGCAAAGACUUUUGACAAUUUGACCUCAAAUCAGGUAGGACUACCCGCUGAACUUAA
This 355-nucleotide ribosomal RNA is filed under the name Psathyrella sp. 34-54. Its description in RNAcentral is "eukaryotic LSU rRNA". The stretch from base 1 to 105 matches the Rfam family "5.8S ribosomal RNA", at positions 50 to 154 of the family's 154-position model. Lineage: Eukaryota; Fungi; Basidiomycota; Agaricomycetes; Agaricales; Psathyrellaceae. The record is from RNAcentral.